RNAcentral lists this ribosomal RNA (253 nucleotides) under uncultured bacterium. RNAcentral describes it as "partial 16S ribosomal RNA". It matches the Rfam family "Bacterial small subunit ribosomal RNA", at positions 524 to 776 of the family's 1533-position model. The record is from RNAcentral.
UACGUAGGUGGCAAGCGUUGUUCGGAAUUAUUGGGCGUAAAGCGCGUGUAGGCGGCUUUGCAAGUCGGGUGUGAAAGCCCUCAGCUCAACUGAGGAAGUGCGCCCGAAACUGCAGAGCUUGAGUACCGGAGAGGAUGGCGGAAUUCCCCAAGUAGAGGUGAAAUUCGUAGAUAUGGGGAGGAACACCGGUGGCGAAGGCGGCCAUCUGGACGGAAACUGACGCUGAGACGCGAAAGCGUGGGUAGCAAACAGG